GAUACCCUAGUACACUUAAAUUUAACUAGUAACAUUAGAAUAUUAAAAGUUAUGUUCUUUAAAUUUAAAAAAUUKGGCGGUGUUUUAGUCUAGUUAGAGGAACCUGUGUUAUAAAUGAUACAACACGCAUUAUUUUACUUAUUUUAGUAGAUCAGCUUGUAUACCGUCAUUAUAAGAUAAUUUAAGAGAGAAUAUUAUUGAAAUCAU
RNAcentral lists this ribosomal RNA (207 nucleotides) under Lacunicambarus aff. polychromatus 102 MGG-2018. RNAcentral describes it as "partial small subunit ribosomal RNA". Lineage: Eukaryota; Metazoa; Arthropoda; Malacostraca; Decapoda; Cambaridae. The record is from RNAcentral.